Molecule: unclassified non-coding RNA, 368 nt
Filed under: uncultured Hygrocybe
Lineage: Eukaryota; Fungi; Basidiomycota; Agaricomycetes; Agaricales; Hygrophoraceae
Description: sequence contains ITS1
Rfam family: 5.8S ribosomal RNA (bases 1-105)
Source: RNAcentral
GAAAUGCGAUACUUGGUGUGAAUUGCAGAAUUCCGUGAAUCAUCGAAUCUUUGAACGCACCUUGCGCCUCUUGGUAUUCCGAGGGGCAUGCCUGUUUGAGUGUCAUUGAAUCCUCAAAAGAAAAGCUUAACUGCUUUCUCUUUUGGAAUUGGAGCGUGCUGGCCUUCUGUUGGGAAGCCCAGCUCCUCUGAAAUACAUUAGCGAUGUGACAUCCACAUGGCACCACGCUUAUCUGGCAUUGAUAGUAUCUUCAUGCCUGAGCGUGUUGUGCAGCUGUGGAAAGCUUUGCUCGCUCAUAGCCUGAUGGGUCCAGCCCAUCCUUUGACCAAUUUAACCUCAAAUCAGGUAGGAUUACCCGCUGAACUUAA